This 465-nucleotide ribosomal RNA is filed under the name uncultured bacterium. Its description in RNAcentral is "partial 16S ribosomal RNA". It matches the Rfam family "Bacterial small subunit ribosomal RNA", at positions 28 to 507 of the family's 1533-position model. The record is from RNAcentral.
GAUGAACGCUGGCGGCGUGCUUAACACAUGCAAGUCGAACGAUGAAGCCCAGCUUGCUGGGUGGAUUAGUGGCGAACGGGUGAGUAACACGUGAGUAACCUGCCCUUAACUCUGGGAUAAGCCUGGGAAACUGGGUCUAAUACCGGAUAGGAGCGUCCACCGCAUGGUGGGUGUUGGAAAGAUUUAUCGGUUUUGGAUGGACUCGCGGCCUAUCAGCUUGUUGGUGAGGUAAUGGCUCACCAAGGCGACGACGGGUAGCCGGCCUGAGAGGGUGACCGGCCACACUGGGACUGAGACACGGCCCAGACUCCUACGGGAGGCAGCAGUGGGGAAUAUUGCACAAUGGGCGCAAGCCUGAUGCAGCGACGCCGCGUGAGGGAUGACGGCCUUCGGGUUGUAAACCUCUUUCAGUAGGGAGAAGCGAAAGUGACGGUACCUGCAGAAGAAGCACCGGCUAACUACGUG